GGAGUGCAAGUCUGGAGCAAGCUCCACUGGAGCAUCUGCCAGGGGCCCGACCUUGCCCCUCUCCUAGCCCUGCCCAGCACAGCCGCCCGCCCCCUCAGACCACACCCGGGUAUUCUCCAGCCCCACCCCACUCCCACUUGGGCACCCAAAGUGUAGAAGGGGGUGUAGGUGCUAAGCUCUGACAUUACUGUGUCACCUUGCGCAGGUCACUUAGCUAACCUUCAAUCCUUGAAGGUCUCAAAACUUAUUAUUAGUUGUAUUAUUGUCUCCACCACAGACUCCCAAACAUAAGGCUUUCUGCUCUAAGAUGCACAGCAGAGAGAAGGGCCUCUCCCAGGGUGUAAAGAGGCCCAGAGGGGGCAUAGCACACCCCAGGUCAGAUGGCCUCAUGUCCCCCACUAUUCUCAAAGAAAAGCCCUGGUCCCUACACUCUCAGACCUAUUUGCCACCAGAAGGCCAAAACACCUGUUUCUGAGGCUUGUGCGAAAGGAGUUCUGCCAGGCCCCAGUGGGGGCUAUGCAGAGAGAAGGGACUCCCCUGUUUUUCCCAGGCACCUACUGUGUGAUGUGGGCGGACCUGGCCCCAGAGUUUGCAUUUUCACCCUGUGGAGACAAUGCACUUACUCCCCUGGUUCAGAGAUGGGGAAACAAGGUGACCCACCUGGAUCUAUCUGAAGGUAGGCCUGAGGCCCUCUCUGCUGAGUGGGCUCCAGCACCAUUCCUAGGCCAUUUGGGCAGCUCCUUGGGCCAACCCCUCUGCCACUCCUGGUCCAGACCGCCCAGGCAGGAGCUCCCAGCCUGCCUGGUCUGACCCCCAGCCCACUGACCCCAGCCCUGGCCCUGGCGGGCAGGCGGGCAUUGCUCAACCUUCAGCGUUAUCUGCUGAGCUGGAGUGACCUCCGCCCCAGAGAGCUGGAGAAAUGACAUCUCUGAGUGCCCUUGGGGGGUGGGGGGCAGGGAGGGACAGGAUGAAACACUGGCCUAGCCUGCUGGGCCUUCCCAGCAGCCUCUGGGCCAGGGAGGGAUCCAAGGCCCCAGGGCCACCCAGCCAAGCCUCCCAAGCUGCAAAAUGGGACACUCAGGGCUGAGCUUGAGGGCCACUGCCUCCGAGAGGCCUCCCUGCCCCAUCUACUGGUGAACUUCCUUCUCAGCCUUUUUCUCCAGCCACCAUUCUCCUAGUUGUCUUGUCUAUACCUCAGCCCCCCUCCAGACUCCAGUGCUACUGCAUGAGCACUGACCCUCCUCCAGCAUAGGUCGGGCAUGCCUAAAAUCUACCAGUGAGCGAAUGCAUUUGCUGUUACCUCUGGACCAAGAACACCGUUUCCCCAGCUCUGCCCAAGACAGCUCCUCAGCGCUCAGCCCAAAGGUUACCUCCUCCAAGAAGCCUUCCCUGACCUCCUUGUGGGAAGUCCUGGGCCCUCAAUCACUCGUUUCACUCCCUCUGCUUCAUGUCCUUUGCCAUUAUCAUAGUUAACAUUAUCUCACCUACUCAGCGUGAUUUCUGUCCCCAUUGCCACUUCCCCUUUUCAUCUCCACCAGGGCAAGGAUUUUUGUUUGUUUUGUUCACUACUGUUCCCCCAUCGCCUAGAACAGUGCCUUGCACACAGAGGUGCCCGAUAAAUGGAGGAGGCUGAGAAGAAGGUGAGGUCCUUCCCCGUUAACUGGACUAUGUGACCUCAGAUAAGAUGGAUGGAUCCCCUCUCUGAGCCUCAGCACACACACACCCCCCCCCAGGGUUCUGGGGAGAUGCACUGAGAUCUAGGGAGUCUGCAGCUAACUGAAGGAUUUGCUGUGUGUCCUCAGGCCCAUAUUUCACCCUCUCUGAACCACAUUUUAAGCUCUUUCCAUGAAUUAACUUAUUUAAUCCUCCCAAUAAUUGGUAGGAAGCAGGUCCUGUUAUAAUCUGCACUUUACAAAUGAGAAACCUGAGGCCCAGCAGAGCUAGCCAAGUGUGCCUGUUCAAGGUCACAUUCAAGGGGUAGGAAGGAUUAAAGGCUUUCCAGUCUGACUUUCCUCUUUAGGUUCCCCCCCUUCUUGGGACUGUAAUAAAUCAUAAUAGGUCUGACCAUGUUAGCCCCAUUCUGUGAAUGGAAAAGCUGAAACCCUGAGAAGGCAGUUGGGGUCACACAGUAAGUCAAGGGAUAACCCAGACCCUGGGAACCAGCCCCCAAGGACCAGACUCGAUCCCAUCAAGGUCUUGCCUUUCUGUCCUCACCCACCAAAUACCAAACCUUUUGCUUCCCACCCUGCCCUGGCCUGACGGUGAAAUUAGUGGCAGUUGCCACCCCAGUGCCACCCCAGGUGUCCUGCAGGGAGGCUGCGUGCAUGGGUGACGUAAGCCCUUGUUUUCACAAGGCUCAUUGCUCAACUGGCCUUGCCUGCUGCCCCACCGUUAAUGCUCAGCCUUCCCCCGAGGAGGGGGAUGAUGUGAGCUGAACCACUAUGGCCCAGAGGCCUGGCGCAUGCCCCAGUGGCCCUGCAGGCAGCAAGGGCCCAGAAACCAGGAUCCACCUGACACCACCUACAACGACCUCUCCCAGUUACCGUCUGGACUAGGUGUUUGUAGGAACCUGGGGAGGAGUCCAGGGAGGGUCUCAAACUGGCAGCCAACAGCCAAAUCCAGCCCAGACUUGUGUUCAGCUUGACCCCAUGGUGUUUUGCUUCAGAUUUUGUGUUUGUCUGGUGGGUUUUUUAAUGCAUUUAUUGCCAAUAUUUUUAAAUCAAGAUACUCCACAUCAAAAUUCAAAAUUCCAGCUUCUCUUUCAAAACCAGAAGCCGUGGGCUGGGCUCACAUGGCUACGAGUGGUGGGCAGGAGCCAGGCAAGGACUGUGGAGGAACAGGCACUUUCUAACCCAGAUAUGCGCCACCCUCUGCACCCAAACUGCUUUCAGAAUUCCUUCUCCCAGUCUCUGCAGCCUUUCCUUAGCCCCAUUCCCAGGAGGAAAAAACCAAGGCAAUUUGCCCAAAGGGAUUCCCAUUGUUGCUUCUUUGACAGAGUGGGGUAAAAGUGUUUGCAGGGGAGGCUUUGAAAUCAGCCAGCAGGUGGAAAAAUAAGGCUGAAGGGAGAACCAUCAGAGAUGGUCCGUGAAGACUGUCUCUAGUGGACUUGGAGUUAGGGGAUUGCAGGGUUAGACUUUUGUUUCUGCUCUGUACGCACCUGGCUGUGGCCCUUUGGUGAUCUCUUAAAUGAAGGUGAUAAUAUCCCUUCUUUCUUGGGCCUUUGGGCUUACUGUUCCCCACAAACACUGGCCUGCCUCAACACAUGGGAGUGAAUUACCUCUCCAGAGCCCCCAAAAGGGUCUGACCACCCAAGUCAUGAAAACCUCGCAAAGCAGGCAGUUGGGAAACAGGUCCAGAGGGGGUUAGGACUUAACCCCAGGAUCACAGUGAACUGGUAGAAGAGACAAAAAAUACCAGAUUCCAGGUGUUCCCAUUGUGCUCAGUGGAAGCAAACCUGACUGGUAUUCAUGAGGAUGCAGGUUCGAUCUCUGGCCUCGCUCAGUAGGUUAAGGAUCCCAGGUUGCUGUGAGCUGUGGUGUAGGUCACAGAUAAGGGCUCUGAUCCCAUGUGGCUGUGGUGUAGGCCAGCAGCUACAGCUCCAAUUUGACCCCUAGUCUGGGAAAUUCCAUAUGCCACAAGUGUGGCCCUAAAAAGCAAAAAAGAAAAAAACAGAUUCCCCUGAUUGACAUGUCCUAGAUUUUUCCCGCCAUGCCUCCUCUUUGAGGCCUCACUUUCCCCAUCUGCCAAAUGGUGCCUAGGUCAGAUCCCUGAGGCCUGUCAGGUCCAGUGUCCUAGGAUCCGGAAUUUCGGAGUCAGGGAGAGGCUGGGAGUGGUGGGGGCGAGGUGGUGGGGGGAUGGAGGGGUGCCUGGCUAGUGAAACUUGCUUGAGCAUAUGCUGCCACCAGGUGGCCAGCUCUGGGAAGGCAGGAGAGGUUUAAAUGAAGCUCUUUGAUUGAGGACCUACUAGAUAUUUUGCUUUUAGUAUACAGAGGUCAGCACUGUGGAUAUAAUUAGAUGCUCAAAGGGUAAGAGCAAGAUGCCACUGGAAGAAAGAAAAAUGCCCAAUAAACAGACAAAAGGUACUUUCGUUUAGCCAUUAAUCACGUAGUUUUUAGCACCUGCUGUGGUUCGUGCCCUAGAGACAUAUCUAUGAACAAAACAGAAGAAAUUCCUGCUCUUAAGAAGUUGAUAUUCCUUUUUGGGAAGACAAACAAUAAAC
RNAcentral lists this long non-coding RNA (4219 nucleotides) under Sus scrofa (pig). Its description in RNAcentral is "lncRNA (ENSSSCG00000054658.1)". Lineage: Eukaryota; Metazoa; Chordata; Mammalia; Artiodactyla; Suidae. The record is from RNAcentral.